RNAcentral lists this long non-coding RNA (924 nucleotides) under Androctonus crassicauda. The record is from RNAcentral. Lineage: Eukaryota; Metazoa; Arthropoda; Arachnida; Scorpiones; Buthidae.
GUCAUAUUACUCGCCGUCUAGUGAACAGCAGGUUACAAUACAAAUAUUUAUGUUAAAAUUCAGAAUAUGAAAAAUUAUAUGUUAAAACGAUGUAUCGUCUUAAAAAUAUUACAAUAGAUAAAUUAAGCAGCAAUUAUCGUUUAUUGAGAAUGUAUAUUAUAAAUUAUAUGUUUCAUAUUAAAUUAAACAUGACGGAAUAACAAAAUGUCGCCGAUGUUUGAACAGCAGAGAGCGCUAGCGUUCGUCAUCAAUUAUGGGCGAGUGUGACUCGAUUCUUCAGAAAUAUUAGCUUAAAUAUAUUAUAUGGAAUAUAUGAAUCGAAUUGUAAUUCAGACAUAUGCCAAGAAAUGUAAAUAUAAUGUCUUGAAACUAAAAGUUUCAAAAGGAUAUGGAAUGUGAAGAAAAUCCUUUUUUAGCCAUGUCUCAAGAUCAAAUUCAAAAAAUAGAUGCUGUUUUGCAAUCAGAGCAAGCUAAAGUCUUGCUUCAAGAAUCAUCUCAUACAGUGAAAUUGUUUGAAGAAACUUCAGAGAAAGAAAAUUUAGAUAUAUCAUCCAAUAAUGAAAGCCAGCUUCCCUUGCUAGAUGAUGGAUUGAGGGAUCUUGCUAAUGUAAAGAAAAAUUUGCACUGAAUUAUGAAAAGUUCUAUUUGUAUUAUUUAUAAUUUUUAUGAAUUUAUCUAUUUAAUUCUAAUUGAAGCUAACUAGGAGAAUAUUUGUAAACCAGAUAUUCAAAGCUAAAUAACCCUAGCUAUAAAGUACUCUAACUAGGAGAAUAUCUACAAACCAAAGGCUUAAGCCAAAUUAACUCUUAGCAUAAUAUUUUGGAAUUGAACUGCAAUUUUAAUAAUUAUUUUAAAUGGAAACUACAGUGCCAUCAUUUGUUGAGUUAAUAAUUAAUUAGAUUUUAAAUAUGGACUAAAGUACAC